Mastomys coucha (southern multimammate mouse) is the source of this 131-nucleotide small nucleolar RNA. RefSeq annotates it as small nucleolar RNA SNORA17. The transcript has a single exon. NCBI's taxonomy places the organism in Eukaryota, Metazoa, Chordata, Mammalia, Rodentia, Muridae. The record is from RefSeq and is a predicted model, not a curated record.
CCUGCUCUUAGGGGCAUUGCAGCUGUGGCAGAGGUGUGCAUGAGCCAUAGUAGGUGGCAGAGAGGAGAGAGGCUAAGUCUACGCUCAGUGUUCUGACCUGUGAACAUUUAAAUGAUUAAUAGCCUAAUAUU